UAGCGUCUAUUGUAUUUGUGAUUGGCUUUUGUCCCCUGAGCUGAUAAAUAAAAACCAAGGAUAUGAGAUAGCGUGCUAUUGUGCAAGCCCGCCUUGAAGCGGGAAGCCUACGGUGCGCUUCGAACUUCCGACUUGAACCUUAUGGUUCAGGUUUAAAGUCAGCGCGAUGCGAUAGACGCUGA
This 182-nucleotide non-coding RNA is filed under the name Candidatus Thioglobus sp. Its description in RNAcentral is "6S RNA". It matches the Rfam family "6S / SsrS RNA". From Rfam's summary of the family: E. coli 6S RNA was the first non coding RNA to be sequenced, but its function was unknown until recently. It consists of 184 nucleotides that fold into an extended hairpin structure with a large single-stranded internal bulge. Lineage: Bacteria; Pseudomonadati; Pseudomonadota; Gammaproteobacteria; Pseudothioglobaceae (SeqCode). The record is from RNAcentral.